Molecule: ribosomal RNA, 492 nt
Filed under: uncultured bacterium
Lineage: Bacteria
Description: partial 16S ribosomal RNA
Rfam family: Bacterial small subunit ribosomal RNA
Source: RNAcentral
AGUGAACGCUGGCGGUAGGCCUAACACAUGCAAGUCGAACGGCAGCACAGUAAGAGCUUGCUCUUACGGGUGGCGAGUGGCGGACGGGUGAGGAAUACAUCGGAAUCUACUUUUUCGUGGGGGAUAACGUAGGGAAACUUACGCUAAUACCGCAUACGACCUACGGGUGAAAGCAGGGGAUCUUCUGACCUUGCGCGAUUGAAUGAGCCGAUGUCGGAUUAGCUAGUUGGCGGGGUAAAGGCCCACCAAGGCGACGAUCCGUAGCUGGUCUGAGAGGAUGAUCAGCCACACUGGAACGGAGACACGGUCCAGACUCCUACGGGAGGCAGCAGUGGGGAAUAUUGGACAAUGGGCGGAAGCCUGAUCCAGCCAGACCGCGUGGGUGAAGAAGGCCUUCGGGUUGUAAAGCCCUUUUGUUGGGAAAGAAAAGCAGCAGGUUGAUACCCCGCUGUUCUGACGGUACCCAAAGAAUAAGCACCGGCUAACUUCGUG